GGUGGCUAGCCACCUCUCUCCGUCAGACACCCCAGCCGAACUCCGACCGAUAGGCCUGGACCCCCUGGCAGGCAGCAGCAACAGCCACAACUCUGCUCCACCUCCUGCGACGGAUUCUACGUGGCUCCAUCACUCCCUGGCAGGCCAUAAUAAUGGCCACGAUCCUGCUCCACCUCCUGCGACGGAUUCCACGCGGCUCCAUCAAUCCCUGGCAGGCCAUAAUAAUGGCCACGAUCCUGCUCCA
RNAcentral lists this long non-coding RNA (244 nucleotides) under Elaeis guineensis (African oil palm). RNAcentral describes it as "long non-coding RNA (EGUI_LNC017112)". The record is from RNAcentral. Lineage: Eukaryota; Viridiplantae; Streptophyta; Magnoliopsida; Arecales; Arecaceae.